UUAUAACUCAUACAGGUGCAAAGUUCUCAUCAAUAGAAACGAAUUAAGUUCAAACAGCAGGUAAUUGCUAUAAAUUGUUGAAGAGUUCCCUCGACUAUCUCUCUUCUCCAUCAUCAGAUCGACUCCAUACCUUUAUUAAAUAGUAGUGCUUUAUAGUACCUAAUGAAAACAUGAUUAAAUUUACUAGUCACCCUUACGAUUUUUGAAAGUUUCCCUCGAUUUCUCUGGGAUCCCAUCAUCAGAUCCUGGU
RNAcentral lists this unclassified non-coding RNA (250 nucleotides) under Melitaea cinxia (Glanville fritillary). RNAcentral's name for it is "misc RNA ENSMCXG00005000343.1". Lineage: Eukaryota; Metazoa; Arthropoda; Insecta; Lepidoptera; Nymphalidae. The record is from RNAcentral.